UGCCAUGAUAAUAUUACUGAAUAAGUAGUUGAAAUUAACAAGAUUUGUUUAUCUGUUGCUACGAUGGACCAUAACCAACAAGGGGUUGGGCGGCAAAAUCAACGAGAGAUUCAAUAAAAAUCUAAAACACAGUCUCAUCUUAUUCCAAACAAAUGAGAUCAUAAGCUACUUUGUUUCUCCUAAGGCCUGUAAAGGUGACUAGUUAGUUACCUCCAUUGUCAUGGAAGAAGAGUAAGCUAGUUAAAACCAAGAAGCAUGAGAUUCACUAUUGCCCACAAAAAGAGUAAAGCACUUCAACCGCUAGAGCUAUAUGGCUUAUUUAUAUAGUUAAGCUCAAACCAAAGCAUUUCACAUCUUCACCUUGUUGUAUUACUCUUAUUAGUUAGCAUCUUUUACGUUCUUGAUAUGGAUUGUUUACUUCUAUCGAGUACGUUUUCAAUGAUUAACAAUACAACAUUUCACCUCACAAUCCUAGUGUAGGUUAAAUACUUAUGAAAGAUUGAAGUGAUGAUCGUUAAGGUCCUUGGAUAUGAUGAUCGUUUUGGUAAUUCAACAUUUUUUUUUUGGUCAAAAGUAAUACAUAACUCAUCAAAAAUUACCCCGACCUAAUGCAAUUAAUCUUUAAAUAAUAUCACUGCCACUACACCAUUCUGUGUUGUUUCACAAACUUUAACGUACACUACACUCAAGGAUACAACCAAGCAUGAAACAGAGAGCACAAAGGUUUUAAUGAAUUACCACCUGUUCAGUUAAAUUUUUGAUUAAUUCCUCCCCAA
RNAcentral lists this long non-coding RNA (776 nucleotides) under Brassica napus (rape). RNAcentral's name for it is "long non-coding RNA (BNAP_LNC005983)". Lineage: Eukaryota; Viridiplantae; Streptophyta; Magnoliopsida; Brassicales; Brassicaceae. The record is from RNAcentral.